AGGCAAUUCCCUGGAUUAACCCUUAAAAGGAAGAGAUAACAGUAUGUAGCUUUUAGGUAGCUUAGAACGUUGGUUAGGUCCGUUAGGUCCGGAACGGCUUCAACCGAAAUCUGAGCACUUCAUCUUUCCGUACAGUAAUUUCAAUCCUAAAGAAGGGCUUUCCUUUUUCUCGUGUUACCAGGGAAACAGAAAGGAGGGGUCCAUUCUCAGUGGCCUGCUUAAAGCUGCACCUAGCUAGCUAGCUACCUGGCCCUUUUCAUCUGGUUUUAGAGACAGGGUCUGUGUCUUUCAGACUGGCCUCAAGCGUAUCACGUGGCAACUCCCACUUCCGCGUCUGAAGUGCAGAGGUUAUAGAUGUGUCUGUCCCCUUAUCUGACUUAUUUGGUGCUGGGAAAAUCCAACCCAAGGCUUGCUACCUGAAGCCCGGGUUGUUUUGUUGAUGUUGUUGUUUGUUUUGUUUGUUUGUUUGUUUGCUUACUUUUAUCUGACUUGCCCAGUUCUUAGGCCUAGUCUCCUAGACUGACAAUUUGAAACCUGUCAUAGCCUUCUCAGUCUAUAAUGCAGAGGGAGCAAGAGCCUGCCUAGACCAAGCUCUGGAGGAACUGGGAUGAACCUGAGGUGAGGUUACAGUUCACCCUCACUACAGGGUUUGCUGCCAAGGGAGAAGACAGUAGGGAAAAGGGUCGGGAGAGGUCGGCUGGUGUGGGGUGCUCAUUUGUUUGGACUGGUCUUGCAGUAACCUGGUUUAUCUGGCCCCUGCCAUAUUGGCAGAGGCACCUGUUUUGUCAUGGGUGCUGCUGGAGCUUGCCGAGCAACUCUGGUGCGAGCCCCAGUGGAAGGGACUAACUGUAACUGCGCCCAUGGAAGGGGCGAACUGUGUGUUGAUUGUCAUUCCCUGUGUUUGUUGGUUAUCUUGUUCUGUGUUCUUGGACAUCGGACUGACAAUACCUUUGGACGUUGGACAGACUGUAUCUACCUCAUUAAACAUCCUAGAUAGCCACAGGAGGGAAGUUAGGAAAAGAGGAAAAGAACAAGUGAGUUACUCUGUGUUCCUCCGAAUGGCCCACUCUCGAAGUAGGGUAGCCACCUGUGUGGACCUUUGACUUGCAGGUGAUCAAAGCGGGAGAGGAGAGAGUCUUUAAGCCAGGAGCUCUCAGGCACCCAUACCAAGUGACUUAUGUAGAUACCUGGAAAAGUCUAGUGGAGGACACUCCCCUCGUGAAUAAAAGCCUUUCUUUCCCCAAGACCCACCUCACAGGUUCAGGCUGUCAUGAGAAGUUGAUCCUCCAAGACCCUUUACCAGCAGACCCGUUGCUCCAGGACCCUCCUCCUCCAUAUCCCCCUACCCUUGCCCCCCUGGUCCCACCAGCACCAGUAGUGGUUCUGGGAUCCUCUGUCCAUAUGGAACCAGGGCUAUUGCACCCCCUUUACUGGAGGGAGGAACGGGAGGAGACCCCCAACUUCUCAGUCCCACCAUGCGGACACAAAGUCUGAGAGCCACCUCCCCUGAUACCAUGGUGGCUCUCCCACUAAUGGUGUAUGGGCCUCUGAAAAAGGGCAAUCAGGCUAUGCAAUAUUGGCUCUUCUCUUUGGCCAACUUGUACAACUGGAAUGCAAAGCCCCACCCCUUUCCAAGAGGCAGAUUAAUCUCUUUGAGACUGUUUUAUUUAUAAUGCAGGAAGCCAGAAACUAGAAAGAAUACCCCUUGGACACAGGGGCACCAUUGAUUGACCAGGCUGUCGUGGACGUGGACAGCAGGCUCUCCCUGACUAGACCUGACUGGGACUUUAAUAUGGCAAAAGGCAAGGGGCACCUGAAGGUUCCCCCACCGCACUCCACUGGCAGGUUUCAGGGGCUGCAUGACGACCCACACAUUUGACCAAGGUACAUGAGGUUAAGCAGAGACCAGAUGCCCAGGCCUCCCCCGAGUAUGUGCGCCAAUAUCCGAUGUUGAGGGAGGCCCAGGAUGCAACCAGGCUGCACGCUACCAGGCUCCUGGAACAAGGGAUCCUGUGGAAGUGCCAAUCACCUCGGAAUACUCCCCUCCUGCCUGUGAAGAAACCUGGGGCCCAAGACUAAGGAGGACUGUCUAGAGGGGACUAAACGGCUCUUGGAGGAGCUGGGAGGACUGGGAUACAGAGCCUCAGCCAAGAAGGCCCAAAUCAGCCAGAGAAAAGCACUCAAAUCGAGGCUCCUAAUUAUAGAGAGUUCCCUCUAACACCCAGAGCUCAGUGAGGAGCCCAAAGUGCUUCCCAGCACUGGUUUGCCAUCCCUCUCUUACUUCAGGCCCUCAAGGCCUACGUUUGUUCUCAAUUGUGGUAAAACCACCUGGCCUGCGGAGCGCCAUACAGUUGAGAGCCAAGACUGUUCCCUUGAGUAGCUUUGAACCUGUACUGCCAUCUUGCUAUCUGCUGCACCCCCGGCUUGAGAACCAACCCUCAGUUGACAAAUACCUUCUUUAUUAUCCCCUGAACAUCUGCUCGUGGGUUUAUGCUUCAAAGGGGGACUGCUUGCUCGAGUGCUUUUCAAGGUCGUAGUGUCAGCGUCCGAGACUGACUGUGACCCUAACUGCUUAGAAGCAUUUUCCUGCGGUGAAUAAAGUUGCUUUUGGUUUAAUUCUGA
Mus musculus (house mouse) is the source of this 2622-nucleotide long non-coding RNA. RefSeq annotates it as predicted gene, 41394. The record is from RefSeq and is a predicted model, not a curated record. NCBI's taxonomy places the organism in Eukaryota, Metazoa, Chordata, Mammalia, Rodentia, Muridae. The transcript is spliced from 3 exons.